This 407-nucleotide ribosomal RNA is filed under the name uncultured bacterium. RNAcentral describes it as "bacterial SSU rRNA". It matches the Rfam family "Bacterial small subunit ribosomal RNA", at positions 30 to 438 of the family's 1533-position model. The record is from RNAcentral.
AUUGAACGCUGGCGGCAUGCCUUACACAUGCAAGUCGAACGGCAGCACGGGAGCAAUCCUGGUGGCGAGUGGCGAACGGGUGAGUAAUAUAUCGGAACGUGCCCAGUCGUGGGGAUAACGUAGCGAAAGCUACGCUAAUACCGCAUACGAUCUAUGGAUGAAAGCGGGGGAUCGCAAGACCUCGCGCGAUUGGAGCGGCCGAUAUCAGAUUAGGUAGUUGGUGAGGUAAAGGCUCACCAAGCCGACGAUCUGUAGCUGGUCUGAGAGGACGACCAGCCACACUGGGACUGAGACACGGCCCAGACUCCUACGGGAGGCAGCAGUGGGGAAUUUUGGACAAUGGGCGCAAGCCUGAUCCAGCAAUGCCGCGUGCAGGAUGAAGGCCUUCGGUUGGUUAAACGUAGUCG